RNAcentral lists this ribosomal RNA (479 nucleotides) under Phomopsis sp. HHTG-2015h. RNAcentral's name for it is "eukaryotic LSU rRNA". The stretch from base 188 to 341 matches the Rfam family "5.8S ribosomal RNA". Lineage: Eukaryota; Fungi; Ascomycota; Sordariomycetes; Diaporthales; Diaporthaceae. The record is from RNAcentral.
GGGGCUCGUAGCGGAGGUGCAUAUCAUCAGCGGAGGAGCAUAUCAAUAAGCGGAGGAGCAUAUCAAUAAGCGGAGGAGCAUAUCAAUAAGCGGAGGAGCAUAUCAAUAAGCGGAGGAACAUAUCAAUAAGCGGAGGAACAUAUCAAUAAGCGGAGGAACAUAUCAAUAAGAGGAGGAAAUUAUUCAUAACUGGCAGGAGCGGAUCUCUUGGUGCGGGCAUCGAUGAAGAACGCAGCGAAAUGCGAUAAGUAAUGUGAAUUGCAGAAUUCAGUGAAUCAUCGAAUCUUUGAACGCACAUUGCGCCCUCUGGUAUUCCGGAGGGCAUGCCUGUUCGAGCGUCAUUUCAACCCUCAAGCCUGGCUUGGUGAUGGGGCACUGCCUUCUAACGAGGGCAGGCCCUGAAAUUCAGUGGCGAGCUCGCCAGGACCCCGAGCGCAAUAGUUAAACCCUCGCUCUGGAAAGGCCCUGGCGGUGCCCUG